GAUGAACGCUGGCGGUGUGCCUAAUACAUGCAAGUCGAGCGACCAGACAGUAAGAUUGUUCUCUUGCCGGUAGCGGGGGACGGGCGGGUGAGAAAUGCAUCAGAAUCUUCUUAUUCUGGGAUAAUAUCGGAGAACAGGUGAUGCUAAUAGCUAAUACAAUGUACCGGUUGGAUCAAUAGUGAUUCGCGCCUUUGGUGUUUGAUUUAGCCGGUGCCGGAUUAGCUAGUUGGCUGGGUAAGGUCCCACCAAGGCAACGAUACGUAGCUGGUCUGAGAGGAUGAUCAGCCACACUGGAACUGAGACACGGUCCAGACUCCUACGGGAGGCAGCAGUGGGGAAUAUUGGACAAUGGGCGCAAGCCUGAUCCAGCAAUACCGCGUGAGUGAAGAAGGCCUUCGGGUUGUAAAGCCCUUUUGUUGGGAAAGAACAGAAGCAGAUUAAUACCCGGACGUUCUGACGGUACCUAAAGAAUAAGCCCCGGCUAACUUCGUG
Molecule: ribosomal RNA, 492 nt
Filed under: uncultured bacterium
Lineage: Bacteria
Description: partial 16S ribosomal RNA
Rfam family: Bacterial small subunit ribosomal RNA
Source: RNAcentral